GAUGAACGCUAGCUACAGGCUUAACACAUGCAAGCCGAGGGGAAACGACAUCGAAAGCUUGCUUUUGAUGGGCGUCGACCGGCGCACGGGUGAGUAACGCGUAUCCAACCUGCCCACCACUUUGGGAUAACCUUGCGAAAGUAAGACUAAUACCCAAUGAUAUCUCUAGAAGACAUCUGAAGGAGAUUAAAGAUUUAUCGGUGAUGGAUGGGGAUGCGUCUGAGUAGCUUGUUGGCGGGGUAACGGCCCACCAAGGCGACGAUCAGUAGGGGUUCUGAGAGGAAGGUCCCCCACAUUGGAACUGAGACACGGUCCAAACUCCUACGGGAGGCAGCAGUGAGGAAUAUUGGUCAAUGGGCGAGAGCCUGAACCAGCCAAGUAGCGUGCAGGAUGACGGCCCUAUGGGUUGUAAACUGCUUUUAUAAGGGAAUAAAGUGAGUCUCGUGAGACUUUUUGCAUGUACCUUAUGAAUAAGGACCGGCUAAUUCCGUGCCAGCAGCCGCCGUAA
RNAcentral lists this ribosomal RNA (508 nucleotides) under uncultured bacterium. RNAcentral describes it as "partial 16S ribosomal RNA". It matches the Rfam family "Bacterial small subunit ribosomal RNA", at positions 28 to 523 of the family's 1533-position model. The record is from RNAcentral.